GUGCUUACUUCCUUAUCACACAUACUAAAACUGUACCAAUACAGAGAUUAGCAUGGCUCUGCACAAGAAUGAUAUGCAAAUUUUGAAGUAUUCCCUAUAUUA
This is a small nuclear RNA of Chionomys nivalis (European snow vole), 102 nucleotides long. The record is from RefSeq and is a predicted model, not a curated record. NCBI's taxonomy places the organism in Eukaryota, Metazoa, Chordata, Mammalia, Rodentia, Cricetidae.